Molecule: long non-coding RNA, 712 nt
Filed under: Rattus norvegicus (Norway rat)
Lineage: Eukaryota; Metazoa; Chordata; Mammalia; Rodentia; Muridae
Description: long non-coding RNA NONRATT019156
Source: RNAcentral
UUUCCGUGAAGCUUUCGCUCAAGCUGGUAAGCACAACGUUCUCCGUGCAUGUCCUUGGUCUAAUUGGGUUCUGGUGUGUGCUGUGUGUGCUCUGCAGCCUGCCUCCGACAUUAACUGUUCACCUGUUCAUUUCUCCCGUGGGCGCUUUUGGUGGUGUGUAUUUCACCUCUGGUUGCGUGGCUGUCUUGUUCACUAAGAAAAUUAAUGCUUAACAUUAUUCGAUUUUUUUUUUUUAAACUUUGGGGACCUCAGAGUUGCCAAGCAUUGAUCAACUCUCUGUAUUCAUCUAAAAGCAAAUGUCAGAAGUUGGGGUGAGUCUUCCUACCGGAUCAUUCUGGGUCAAAAUAAAUUUAAAGAGUUGGAAGGCAGCCCUUCCUGGGAGCCACAGAAGUAGAUAUUUCACACACACACACACACACACACACACACACACACACACACACACACAAACUGUGCGCCUAAAGGAGACACUUGGGAGGCAGAGGCAGGCGGAUCUCUGGGAGUUCAAGGCCAGCCUGGUCUACAGAGUGAAGUUCCAGGCCAGCCAGAGCUAUUUAGAGAGACCUUAAAGGAGACACUCAGGCAUUCGUCGUGCCUGUCAUGACUGCUCAAGUUUUUGGUAGGGAAGACCAGUGGGAAGCUACGGUCUUCUGGGGGAGCAUUGGGUAAAACUGAUUCCAGGGGCCACAGAUGCUUUGAUGAAAAGGGGAAC